GGGGGCGUAGCUCAGUCGGUAGAGCAUCGGCCUUUUAAGCCGCUGGUCGGAGGUUCGAGUCCUCCCGCCCUCA
RNAcentral lists this transfer RNA (73 nucleotides) under Chloroflexota bacterium. RNAcentral describes it as "tRNA-Lys". It matches the Rfam family "tRNA". From Rfam's summary of the family: Transfer RNA (tRNA) molecules are approximately 80 nucleotides in length. The record is from RNAcentral. Lineage: Bacteria; Bacillati; Chloroflexota. RNAcentral also lists the same sequence under 3 other names.